Molecule: ribosomal RNA, 507 nt
Filed under: uncultured bacterium
Lineage: Bacteria
Description: bacterial SSU rRNA
Rfam family: Bacterial small subunit ribosomal RNA
Source: RNAcentral
GAUCCUGGCUUAGGAUGAACGCUGGCGGCGUGCCUAAUACAUGCAAGUCGAACGAGGUAGCAAUACCGAGUGGCGAACGGGUGAGUAACACGUAGGUAACCUGCCUUACAGUUGGGAUACCCUGGCGAAAGCUAGGCUAAUACCGAAUAAUUGGAUUGGAGGCAUCUCCGAUCUCUAAAAGGGGCCCUUAAAGCCUCGCUGAAUGAUGGACCUGCGGCGCAUUAGCUAGUUGGUGAGAUAAUAGCCCACCAAGGCGAGGAUGCGUAGCCGACCUGAGAGGGUGAACGGCCACACUGGAACUGAGACACGGUCCAGACUCCUACGGGAGGCAGCAGUAGGGAGUUUUCGGCAAUGGGGGCAACCCUGACCGAGCAACGCCGCGUGAAUGAAUGAAGGUCUUCGGAUUGUAAAGUUCUGUUAUAAGGGAAAAAUGAUAGGGUGAGGAAAUGCUCUCUAUUUGAUGGUACCUUAUUAGAAAGCCACGGCUAACUACGUGCCAGCAGCGGC